AAAGCUCUGUUCAGAUACCUGACACCAGGUGUGACCCUUACUGUAGGCAAAGAACCUGAGCCCCAAGAAAGGGAGAGAUCAGGCCAGAAAAGAUACAAGCCUUUGGAUGUUCAAUCCCCUAGCUCCUCCAUCUCCUCACUGGAGGGUCUGGUCCUUCCUCAGGAUGGCUCUAACACUCAGGGCUGAGGAUGCUUCUGAGGCAUGGUCCUCUAGCUCUGACGGAAGGCUCAGGUUUUGUGAAAGCCCCAGCCUGGCCGGGGCACAGCAGGGCCAGCUGCCCCACGAGCUUGCCUGCUCACCUUGUUGCUCCAGAAGAGCAUUCUGCCGCUUGAGGUCAUCAAUGUCUUGCUGGUGCGUAUGGUUUUUCCUUCGCAUAUACUGGAUAUACUCUGUUGCUUUGUCUAGGAUUUGGGCCCGGGAUGCCUGUUGCAAUAUGAGAAAGAUUUUUAAAAAAAGAACAAAAUAAAGACUAAGUUUACAUAGCAAGAGAA
Molecule: long non-coding RNA, 491 nt
Filed under: Rattus norvegicus (Norway rat)
Lineage: Eukaryota; Metazoa; Chordata; Mammalia; Rodentia; Muridae
Description: long non-coding RNA NONRATT024424
Source: RNAcentral